This 497-nucleotide ribosomal RNA is filed under the name uncultured bacterium. RNAcentral describes it as "partial 16S ribosomal RNA". It matches the Rfam family "Bacterial small subunit ribosomal RNA", at positions 28 to 507 of the family's 1533-position model. The record is from RNAcentral.
GAUGAACGCUGGCGGCGUGCCUAAUACAUGCAAGUCGAGCGAACGGACGAGAAUCUUGCUUCGCUGAUGUUAGCGGCGGACGGGUGAGUAACACGUGGAUAACCUACCUAUAAGACUGGGAUAACUUGGGGAAACCGGAGCUAAUACCGGAGGAUAUUUUGAACCGCAGGGUUCAAAAGUGAAAGACGGUCUUGCUGUCACUUAUAGAUGGAUCCGCGCUGCAUUAGCUAGUUGGUAAGGUAACGGCUUACCAAGGCAACGAUGCAUAGCCGACCUGAGAGGGUGAUCGGCCACACUGGAACUGAGACACGGUCCAGACUCCUACGGGAGGCAGCAGUAGGGAAUCUUCCGCAAUGGGCGAAAGCCCGACGGAGCAACGCCGCGUGAGUGAUGAAGGUCUUCGGAUCGUAAAACUCUGUUAUUAGGGAAGAACAUAUGUGUAAGUAACUGUGCACAUCUUGACGGUACCUAAUCAGAAAGCCACGGCUAACUACGUG